RNAcentral lists this ribosomal RNA (491 nucleotides) under uncultured bacterium. RNAcentral's name for it is "partial 16S ribosomal RNA". It matches the Rfam family "Bacterial small subunit ribosomal RNA", at positions 29 to 507 of the family's 1533-position model. The record is from RNAcentral.
GUGAACGCUGGCGGUAGGCCUAACACAUGCAAGUCGAACGGCAGCACAGUAAGAGCUUGCUCUUACGGGUGGCGAGUGGCGGACGGGUGAGGAAUACAUCGGAAUCUACUUUUUCGUGGGGGAUAACGUAGGGAAACUUACGCUAAUACCGCAUACGACCUACGGGUGAAAGCAGGGGAUCUUCGGACCUUGCGCGAUUGAAUGAGCCGAUGUCGGAUUAGCUAGUUGGCGGGGUAAAGGCCCACCAAGGCGACGAUCCGUAGCUGGUCUGAGAGGAUGAUCAGCCACACUGGAACUGAGACACGGUCCAGACUCCUACGGGAGGCAGCAGUGGGGAAUAUUGGACAAUGGGCGCAAGCCUGAUCCAGCCAUACCGCGUGGGUGAAGAAGGCCUUCGGGUUGUAAAGCCCUUUUGUUCGGAAAGAAAAGCAGCAGGUUAAUACCCCGCUGUUCUGACGGUACCCAAAGAAUAAGCACCGGCUAACUUCGUG